UACGAAGGGGGCUAGCGUUGCUCGGAAUUACUGGGCGUAAAGCGCACGUAGGCGGCUUUCUAAGUCGGAGGUGAAAUCCUGGAGCUCAACUCCAGAACUGCCUUCGAUACUGGAGAGCUUGAGUCCGGGAGAGGUGAGUGGAACUGCGAGUGUAGAGGUGAAAUUCGUAGAUAUUCGCAAGAACACCAGUGGCGAAGGCGGCUCACUGGCCCGGUACUGACGCUGAGGUGCGAAAGCGUGGGGAGCGAACGGG
RNAcentral lists this ribosomal RNA (253 nucleotides) under uncultured bacterium. RNAcentral's name for it is "partial 16S ribosomal RNA". It matches the Rfam family "Bacterial small subunit ribosomal RNA", at positions 524 to 776 of the family's 1533-position model. The record is from RNAcentral.